AUGUUGAAUGUCGAGUAUGAGGACCCGGACUUGUUUCAGGAUUUUGAGGAGCUGCUACCUAUGGAUACCUCUGAGGGGGGAGGUGCUUCUGGGAACCGUGGAGAUGACGCACCCGGUGAUGGUGACAGGGGUUCCAGGCCUGUGGAUUCGUCUAAGCCAGCAGAGUCUGCUCAGGGGAAAACACCGGUUUCGGCACCGUCCAACAUGCUUCAGCUUGGCUCCGUAGGGGCUUUCUCUGCGCCUCCUCGUCUUUGGAGUGAUCGUGUGGAGUUGGAUGAUCCGUCUGAGCAUGUGCCACCGGUGAUUUCGGAGGUCUUGAGGGCUGAGGAAACGGACAGACUUUCUGCACAGGAGGUUGUUUCUCCUCCUUCAUCGCCGGUACCGCGGCUGGACAUGACGACUCUUUUGGACGACUCGGCGGAGCUGGCCGGGAGUACGGUCAGGUCCUUCUCUGCUUUGCCGGUGCUCGGAUCGUCGGGACUCAGGGCCAGCGCAGUAGUAACGACCACUCCGGAGGCUCGGCGGGCCUCGGAUGGGUCUAGCGGGCAGGAGGCCCGCGCACCGCGCUCUCCUUCCUUGCCGGCAUCAGAGGUGGCUACUGAUCUUCUGGGAGGGUCGGCUGUUGGUCAAAGACCGGUGUCUUCACAGGCCAGUCCGGCCUCCCUGGCUAGGGAGGCCUCCUCACCUCUUCACGCCGCCGUUAGUGCGCCAGGGCAGGGGGUAGUCGGCUCACCGGCCCCCACUGUGUUAGGUGGGCUGGGUGGAGCCACUGCAGCUACUGCCUCCUCCUCGGUGCGCGGCGUGUGGGCUGCCCCAGAGCCAGCUGCUGGUGGGUCGCCUGUUGACGGGCUGCAGGUGGCGGCGCCGACUUCUUCUCCUGCGCUGGUGUCGGCGACCCGGGGCGUCGCUGUGGGGGGAGGGGCAGGAGGUCUCUCCCCUUGCAGGGCUUCCUGCGAGGAGGUCAUCGCCUUUGGUGGUAUCCCGGACCCUGUCACCCAGGGAAGGCGGAUCAGCGGGAGGUUGCAGGAGCAGCCGGACGUCGAUGACAUUCAACUGCGGUGUGCUUUGAGGGCUGCCAAGUUGCAGGACGUCGAGACCACCACCGGUUAUCUUCAGGACCACGGCGUUCAUCCGUAUGUGGUCGCUACUCACUCCGACGGAGGCCAGGGAGCGUUUGGUUACUGCGUCUACCCGAUGGGAGAUGGUAGCUCGGGAUAUUUUCAACCGGUUUGGAUGGCGGUCAUGUAA
RNAcentral lists this ribosomal RNA (1248 nucleotides) under Triticum aestivum (bread wheat). RNAcentral's name for it is "partial small subunit ribosomal RNA". Lineage: Eukaryota; Viridiplantae; Streptophyta; Magnoliopsida; Poales; Poaceae. The record is from RNAcentral.